RNAcentral lists this long non-coding RNA (212 nucleotides) under Elaeis guineensis (African oil palm). RNAcentral's name for it is "long non-coding RNA (EGUI_LNC081816)". The record is from RNAcentral. Lineage: Eukaryota; Viridiplantae; Streptophyta; Magnoliopsida; Arecales; Arecaceae.
AGGGUUGCUGAACAUUUUGAUAUUGGUACAUUGUAUAAGUUUCUUCUGGAUAGCUAGGCUUAUAAUCAACUGUUGGUUGUGAUGAAUAGGAAAAAAUUAGAUGAUUUUCCCAACCUAGAUUGUAGGUGUUGGCAAAAAGAUUGGGACAAGCAGUUUAGAUUUGGGUUUGGUAAGUUUGCUCAUGUGCAAACUCUUAGGAUCGAUAUGCGGCU